CGGCAAGAGCUCAAAUUUGAAAUCUGAAGUCUUUGACUUUCGAGUUGUAAUUUGAAGAGGAUGCUUCGGAUGCGCCCCGGCCUAAGUUCCUUGGAACAGGAUGUCGCAGAGGGUGAGAGUCCCGUACGCGGCUGGAGGCUUAUUCCAUGUGUAGCUCCUUCGAA
RNAcentral lists this ribosomal RNA (164 nucleotides) under Orbiliales sp. RNAcentral describes it as "partial large subunit ribosomal RNA". It matches the Rfam family "Eukaryotic large subunit ribosomal RNA", at positions 99 to 261 of the family's 3401-position model. The record is from RNAcentral. Lineage: Eukaryota; Fungi; Ascomycota; Orbiliomycetes; Orbiliales.